This 137-nucleotide ribosomal RNA is filed under the name uncultured eukaryote. Its description in RNAcentral is "partial 18S ribosomal RNA". It matches the Rfam family "Eukaryotic small subunit ribosomal RNA", at positions 1299 to 1458 of the family's 1831-position model. The record is from RNAcentral.
UGGUGAGGUGACUUGUCUGCCUAAUCGCGAUAACGAACGAGACCUUAACCUGCUAAAUAGCCCGCGCCGCCUUGGCGGCGUGCCGGCUUCUUAGAGGGACUAUCGGUGCAAGCCGAUGGAAGUUUGAGGCAAUAACA